Molecule: long non-coding RNA, 275 nt
Filed under: Mytilus galloprovincialis (Mediterranean mussel)
Lineage: Eukaryota; Metazoa; Mollusca; Bivalvia; Mytilida; Mytilidae
Source: RNAcentral
UCAAAUAAUAGAAACGAAAAAUAUUUUUUAUAUACCAUGUCUUUAGAACGAAUAGGGAAACAGGAAUCGUCUAAAUAAAGGCAAUAAGCAGGACGGAAGAAUGGGAAUAGACUAGUUUCCUUCCUUUUCACACUAAAAGUGUGGAAGACGGGAGGCAAAACAAGAGAAAUAUUUAUAAUUUAUUUAUCGAAAUCAGUUAUGUACUGAAAAACUUCGGAAAUUUAUCUUAAAAGGACUUGACAGUCAGUGACGCAAUUAAGGAAAUACAUACGGGA